Molecule: long non-coding RNA, 768 nt
Filed under: Homo sapiens (human)
Lineage: Eukaryota; Metazoa; Chordata; Mammalia; Primates; Hominidae
Description: HSALNT0035842
Source: RNAcentral
CAAUACUUUACAGCAUCAGAAUGCAAAGAAAUUAUUUUCUUAGACGAAUCCUCAUGUGGACUGCUGAGCACUUAACCAGAAAACAGCAAGAGAGAACUGUAGGUUGUUCAAGUGUCUGCACAUCUGAUUGAUCCAGAUUGAAUGUACAAUAUACUGGAACACAUAUGAGAGCCUACUGGUGACAUAUGUUCAUUCAUUCAUCCAUGUGGAGUUGACAUCGCUUUGCCAUAGACAAUGAAUUUGAAGAGACACCUGUGUACAUGUGCACCAGCUGCCCAGGUUGAGGACUGCUCCUGCCUGCUCUGGACCUGCUCCUCCCUUUGGCUGGCUUUCCAAUUAGUGUAGACAUGUUCUCCCAUAUCCUAGCCUCUCUUUGGGCCACAUUUGAGGAUACCACCAACCAACCCUUGGAUCAAAUGCUUGGCUCUUGGGCUCAGACCCUGUAGGGAUAUAGCUUUAUUUGCAAAGUAGGCUGAAAGACUCCCUCUCUUGACAAGGAAAGCUGAUUGGCAGUAUGAAGAGUACACUGCAGAAGUUUUGAGGAGGACAAGCACUUACGAUGGCUUUACAGGGAUGGCUGCCCAAGUGAGAUAGAAUUUAACGAAGGGAAGUAUCACCGGCCUGAACUACUACUCCCCAUCCCCUGCAACUGCCAUUCUUUCUGACUUGUCUCUAGAAAAGGCCAUGUGACCUCUCCCUCAGGCUGACGCAUUGUCCCAGCCAGAAUGUCCAGCCAAAGCAGAAUAAAGCAUCUACUGGACCUAAAAG